UUUGAUCCUGGCUCAGAUUGAACGCUGGCGGCAUGCCUUACACAUGCAAGUCGAACGGCAGCACGGAGCUUGCUCUGGUGGCGAGUGGCGAACGGGUGAGUAAUAUAUCGGAACGUACCCUAGAGUGGGGGAUAACGUAGCGAAAGUUACGCUAAUACCGCAUACGAUCUAAGGARGAAAGUGGGGGAUCGCAAGACCUCAUGCUCGUGGAGCGGCCGAUAUCUGAUUAGCUAGUUGGUAGGGUAAAAGCCUACCAAGGCAUCGAUCAGUAGCUGGUCUGAGAGGACGACCAGCCACACUGGAACUGAGACACGGUCCAGACUCCUACGGGAGGCAGCAGUGGGGAAUUUUGGACAAUGGGCGAAAGCCUGAUCCAGCAAUGCCGCGUGAGUGAAGAAGGCCUUCGGGUUGUAAAGCUCUUUUGUCAGGGAAGAAACGGUGAGAGCUAAUAUCUCUUGCUAAUGACGGUACCUGAAGAAUAAGCACCGGCUAACUACGUGCCAGCAGCCGCGGUAAUACGUAGGGUGCAAGCGUUAAUCGGAAUUACUGGGCGUAAAGCGUGCGCAGGCGGUUUUGUAAGUCUGAUGUGAAAUCCCCGGGCUCAACCUGGGAAUUGCAUUGGAGACUGCAAGGCUAGAAUCUGGCAGAGGGGGGUAGAAUUCCACGUGUAGCAGUGAAAUGCGUAGAUAUGUGGAGGAACACCGAUGGCGAAGGCAGCCCCCUGGGUCAAGAUUGACGCUCAUGCACGAAAGCGUGGGGAGCAAACAGGAUUAGAUACCCUGGUAGUCCACGCCCUAAACGAUGUCUACUAGUUGUCGGGUCUUAAUUGACUUGGUAACGCAGCUAACGCGUGAAGUAGACCGCCUGGGGAGUACGGUCGCAAGAUUAAAACUCAAAGGAAUUGACGGGGACCCGCACAAGCGGUGGAUGAUGUGGAUUAAUUCGAUGCAACGCGAAAAACCUUACCUACCCUUGACAUGGCUGGAAUCCCCGAGAGAUUGGGGAGUGCUCGAAAGAGAACCAGUACAGAGGUGCUGCAUGGCU
Molecule: ribosomal RNA, 1044 nt
Filed under: uncultured bacterium
Lineage: Bacteria
Description: bacterial SSU rRNA
Rfam family: Bacterial small subunit ribosomal RNA
Source: RNAcentral